AAGUCGUAACAAGGUUUCCGUAGGUGAACCUGUGGAAGGAUCAUUAACACGUAUCCAACGUUAAACAACCCUGUGAACUUUAAGUCCCCUCUUGCAGCCCAUGAGGAACAGCAAUCCCGGUAAAUCAUUGCCAAACAGUUUUGAUUCGGGACCGAAUGACAGUGUCACUGACUGUACGGAUAACGCCUCACGGUUGCUAGAGGUCGAUCACCGACCGGCAGACAUGUCACAGGGUCACCACGCCCCUUAAUCACUCCACUUGAAAAUGCCCCGCCUAGUGGUAACGCGCUAGGUAAACAAAACCGAACAACUGUUAACAAUGGAUAUCUUGGUUCUC
This 337-nucleotide unclassified non-coding RNA is filed under the name fungal sp. RNAcentral's name for it is "partial internal transcribed spacer region". The stretch from base 1 to 46 matches the Rfam family "Eukaryotic small subunit ribosomal RNA", at positions 1786 to 1831 of the family's 1831-position model. The record is from RNAcentral. Lineage: Eukaryota; Fungi.